RNAcentral lists this non-coding RNA (785 nucleotides) under Dyscolus montivagus. The record is from RNAcentral. Lineage: Eukaryota; Metazoa; Arthropoda; Insecta; Coleoptera; Carabidae.
AUAAAGUUUAAUUCUGGUUUAAAGAUUUAUUUAAUUUUUUUUUUACAUGUAAAUUUUUGUAGGAUGUUAGUUAAAUUUUAAAAAUUUAAUUAAAGUAAUUUAUUCGCAGUAUUUAAUUUUAAUAAUUUAAGAAAUUAAGAAUUAGAAAUAAAUUUUAAUAUUAACAAAUUUUGUGCCAGCAGUUGCGGUUAUACAAAAGAUAUAAAUGAAUUUUAUUAGUAAAUAAUUAUAUGAAAUUGUUGAUAAAUUAAAAUAGUAUUUAUUAGGUGAAAUUUUAAGUAUUAAAUUAAUUUAUAAAAAAGUUUUUAUUAUUAUGAAAUUUAUAUUUAAACUAGGAUUAGAUACCCUAUUAUUUUAAAUGUAAAAAGUUUUACUUAAGUAGUAUUAGUUAUGUUCUUGAAAUUUAAAGAUUUUGGCGGUAUUUUAGUCUAUUUAGAGGAACCUGUUCUGUAAUUGAUAAUCCACGAUUAACUUUACUUAUUUUAUAAAUUUGUAUACCGUCGUUAUUAGAAAAUUUUAGCAGAAAAUAAAUUUUUAAUAUUUUAAAUUAAAAAAUAUAUCAGAUCAAGGUGCAGUAUAUAUCUAAGAAGAAAUGGGUUACAAUAAAUUUAUUUAUACGGAUUAAAGUAAGAAUAAACUUUAUGAAGGUGGAUUUAAUAGUAAUAAAAUUUAAUUAAAUUUUAUGAUUUUAGCUCUAAAAUAUGUACAUAUCGCCCGUCGCUCUUAUUAUAAGGUAAGAUAAGUCGUAACAUAGUAGAUGUACUGGAAAGUGUAUCUAGAAUGAA